Molecule: transfer RNA, 71 nt
Filed under: Loxodonta africana (African savanna elephant)
Lineage: Eukaryota; Metazoa; Chordata; Mammalia; Proboscidea; Elephantidae
Rfam family: tRNA
About the family: Transfer RNA (tRNA) molecules are approximately 80 nucleotides in length.
Source: Rfam by way of RNAcentral
GCAUUCGUGGUUCAAUGGUAGAAUUCUUGCCUUUCAUGUGUGACACCAGAGUUUGAUUCUCAGCCAAUGUA